This 253-nucleotide ribosomal RNA is filed under the name uncultured bacterium. RNAcentral describes it as "partial 16S ribosomal RNA". It matches the Rfam family "Bacterial small subunit ribosomal RNA", at positions 524 to 776 of the family's 1533-position model. The record is from RNAcentral.
UACGUAGGGACCAAGCGUUGUCCGGAAUCAUUGGGCGUAAAGAGCGUGUAGGCGGCUUGUUAAGUCUUGCGUGAAAUCUCGGGGCUCAACCCCGAGCGGUCGUGAGAAACUGGCAGGCUAGAGUGCGGGAGAGGAGAGUGGAAUUCCUGGUGUAGCGGUGAAAUGCGCAGAUAUCAGGAAGAACACCCGUGGCGAAGGCGGCUCUCUGGAACGCAACUGACGCUGAGGAGCGAAAGCUAGGGGAGCAAACGGG